Non-coding RNA from Bacteroidetes bacterium 43-16, 37 nucleotides. Lineage: Bacteria; Pseudomonadati; Bacteroidota. The record is from Rfam.
ACAGGCGAAGCCGAAAACCUGCAGAAAAGAGUAGGCA